CAAUUUAAACAACGAAGAGUUUGAUCCUGGCUCAGGAUGAACGCUAGCGACAGGCUUAACACAUGCAAGUCGAGGGGCAGCACAGGUAGCAAUACCGGGUGGCGACCGGCGCACGGGUGAGUAACGCGUAUGCAACUUACCUAUCAGAGGGGGAUAACCCGGCGAAAGUCGGACUAAUACCGCAUGAAGCAGGGGCCCCGCAUGGGGAUAUUUGCUAAAGAUUCAUCGCUGAUAGAUAGGCAUGCGUUCCAUUAGGCAGUUGGCGGGGUAACGGCCCACCAAACCGACGAUGGAUAGGGGUUCUGAGAGGAAGGUCCCCCACAUUGGUACUGAGACACGGACCAAACUCCUACGGGAGGCAGCAGUGAGGAAUAUUGGUCAAUGGGCGCGAGCCUGAACCAGCCAAGUCGCGUGAGGGAUGAAGGUUCUAUGGAUCGUAAACCUCUUUUAUAAGGGAAUAAAGUGCGGGACGUGUCCCGUUUUGUAUGUACCUUAUGAAUAAGGAUCGGCUAACUCCGUGCCAGCAGCCGCGGUAAUACGGAGGAUCCGAGCGUUAUCCGGAUUUAUUGGGUUUAAAGGGUGCGUAGGCGGCCUUUUAAGUCAGCGGUGAAAGUCUGUGGCUCAACCAUAGAAUUGCCGUUGAAACUGGGGGGCUUGAGUAUGUUUGAGGCAGGCGGAAUGCGUGGUGUAGCGGUGAAAUGCUUAGAUAUCACGCAGAACCCCGAUUGCGAAGGCAGCCUGCCAAGCCAUGACUGACGCUGAUGCACGAAAGCGUGGGGAUCAAACAGGAUUAGAUACCCUGGUAGUCCACGCAGUAAACGAUGAUCACUAGCUGUUUGCGAUACAGUGUAAGCGGCACAGCGAAAGCGUUAAGUGAUCCACCUGGGGAGUACGCCGGCAACGGUGAAACUCAAAGGAAUUGACGGGGGCCCGCACAAGCGGAGGAACAUGUGGUUUAAUUCGAUGAUACGCGAGGAACCUUACCCGGGUUUGAACGCAUUUCGACCGCUCUGGAAACAGAGCCUCUAGCAAUAGCGAUUUGCGAGGUGCUGCAUGGUUGUCGUCAGCUCGUGCCGUGAGGUGUCGGCUUAAGUGCCAUAACGAGCGCAACCCUUGCCACUAGUUACUAACAGGUGAUGCUGAGGACUCUGGUGGGACUGCCAGCGUAAGCUGCGAGGAAGGCGGGGAUGACGUCAAAUCAGCACGGCCCUUACAUCCGGGGCGACACACGUGUUACAAUGGCGUGGACAAAGGGAAGCCACCUGGCGACAGGGAGCGAAUCCCCAAACCACGUCUCAGUUCGGAUCGGAGUCUGCAACCCGACUCCGUGAAGCUGGAUUCGCUAGUAAUCGCGCAUCAGCCAUGGCGCGGUGAAUACGUUCCCGGGCCUUGUACACACCGCCCGUCAAGCCAUGGGAGCCGGGGGUACCUGAAGUCCGUAACCGCGAGGAUCGGCCUAGGGUAAAACUGGUGACUGGGGCUAAGUCGUAACAAGGUAGCCGUACCGGAAGGUGCGGCUGGAACACCUCCUUUCUGGA
RNAcentral lists this ribosomal RNA (1538 nucleotides) under Parabacteroides distasonis. RNAcentral describes it as "bacterial SSU rRNA". It matches the Rfam family "Bacterial small subunit ribosomal RNA". Lineage: Bacteria; Pseudomonadati; Bacteroidota; Bacteroidia; Bacteroidales; Tannerellaceae. The record is from RNAcentral.